Molecule: ribosomal RNA, 759 nt
Filed under: Acinetobacter sp.
Lineage: Bacteria; Pseudomonadati; Pseudomonadota; Gammaproteobacteria; Moraxellales; Moraxellaceae
Description: bacterial SSU rRNA
Rfam family: Bacterial small subunit ribosomal RNA
Source: RNAcentral
AGCGGAGCGAGGGUGCUUGCACCUUAGCUUAGCGGCGGACGGGUGAGUAAUGCUUAGGAAUCUGCCUAUUAGUGGGGGACAACAUUCCGAAAGGAAUGCUAAUACCGCAUACGUCCUACGGGGGAAAGCAGGGGAUCUUCGGACCUUGCGCUAAUAGAUGAGCCUAAGUCGGAUUAGCUAGUUGGUGGGGUAAAGGCCUACCAAGGCGACGAUCUGUAGCGGGUCUGAGAGGAUGAUCCGCCACACUGGGACUGAGACACGGCCCAGACUCCUACGGGAGGCAGCAGUGGGGAAUAUUGGACAAUGGGCGGAAGCCUGAUCCAGCCAUGCCGCGUGUGUGAAGAAGGCCUUUUGGUUGUAAAGCACUUUAAGCGAGGAGGAGGCUACUUAGAUUAAUACUCUAGGAUAGUGGACGUUACUCGCAGAAUAAGCACCGGCUAACUCUGUGCCAGCAGCCGCGGUAAUACAGAGGGUGCGAGCGUUAAUCGGAUUUACUGGGCGUAAAGCGUGCGUAGGCGGCUGAUUAAGUCGGAUGUGAAAUCCCUGAGCUUAACUUAGGAAUUGCAUUCGAUACUGGUCAGCUAGAGUAUGGGAGAGGAUGGUAGAAUUCCAGGUGUAGCGGUGAAAUGCGUAGAGAUCUGGAGGAAUACCGAUGGCGAAGGCAGCCAUCUGGCCUAAUACUGACGCUGAGGUACGAAAGCAUGGGGAGCAAACAGGAUUAGAUACCCUGGUAGUCCAUGCCGUAAACGAUGUCUACUA